UAUGUGAUCGUCUCUCGCAUAUCAAUAAGCGGAGGAAAAGAAACUAACAAGGAUUCCCCUAGUAACGGCGAGUGAAGCGGGAAGAGCUCAAAUUUGAAAUCUUAAAGGGUUUCCCUUUACGAAUUGUAGUUUAAAGAAGUGUUUUCUGUUGAGGUUUUGGUAAAAGUUCUUUGGAAUAGGACAUCAUAGAGGGUGAGAAUCCCGUAUUUGACCUUUACUUUCAACUUUGUGAUACACUUUCAAAGAGUCGGAUUGUUUGGGAAUGCAGUCCAUAAUGGGUGGUAAAUUUCAUCUAAAGCUAAAUAUUGGCGAGAGACCGAUAGCGAACAAGUACCGUGAGGGAAAGAUGAAAAGAACUUUGAAAAGAGAGUUAAACAGUACGUGAAAUUGUCAAAAGGGAAGCGUUUGACACCAGUGUUGUUUUUCUGAAAAUCAAUUAAAGAACUGUUUAUGCUAAGCUGUUUAGACUUUAUCAGCUAUCUGUUUAGCUUUGAGCUUUUCUUUAAUGCACUUUUCAGUUAACAAGUCAACAUCAAUUUCUUUUGCUGUAAAAAAGCUUGAGGAAGGUGGCUUGAGAUUCGUCUUAAGUGUUUAUAGCCUCUUGCCUAUGCAGUCGGAGAGAUUGAGGUCUGCAGCGUAGAUCCUUCGGGGCUAAAUGCAUUUGUGCUAAGUUAUAGCAUUUUAUAGACAACUUGUUGACUAUGAUUUGUCUUGUAGCUUACUCGCUUAUGUUAUUUUACCUACGCUUAGGAUGUUGAACGCGCACAGAGUCUC
This 774-nucleotide ribosomal RNA is filed under the name uncultured Neocallimastigales. RNAcentral's name for it is "partial large subunit ribosomal RNA". It matches the Rfam family "Eukaryotic large subunit ribosomal RNA", at positions 24 to 641 of the family's 3401-position model. The record is from RNAcentral. Lineage: Eukaryota; Fungi; Neocallimastigomycota; Neocallimastigomycetes; Neocallimastigales.